RNAcentral lists this ribosomal RNA (308 nucleotides) under uncultured fungus. RNAcentral's name for it is "eukaryotic LSU rRNA". The stretch from base 252 to 308 matches the Rfam family "Eukaryotic large subunit ribosomal RNA", at positions 1 to 57 of the family's 3401-position model. The record is from RNAcentral. Lineage: Eukaryota; Fungi.
CUUGCGCUCCCUGGUAUUCCGGGGAGCACGCCUGUUUGAGUGUCAUGGUAUUCUCAACCUUCAUAACUUUUGUUAUGGAAGGCUUGGAUUUGGAGGUUGUGCUGGCUCUCGUUAGUCGGCUCCUCUUAAAUGCAUUAGCGUGAACGUUUGCCGAUCGCUAUCAGUGUGAUAAUUAUCUGCGCUGUUAGUGUUGAAGCAUCAUUAGUGUCGCGCUUCUAACCGUCCUUCACGGGACAAUUUACUUUGACAUCUGACCUCAAAUCAGGCGGGACUACCCGCUGAACUUAAGCAUAUCAAUAAGCGGAGGA